AAGACAGAGCCGGGAAUGAGAAAACCGGUGCAAGCACAAUAGAUGUGUGGGAGGAAAAACCCCCGCAUAAGUCGAAGGUGUGACGCGGACCGAAAAAGAGUAGGGAAGCUGUUAAGCAAGCCGUCAAGAAAAGCUGCUAUUGUUUCAUUAUGGCCCGUACCGUAAACCGACACAGGUGGAUGGGGAGAGAAUCCUAAGGCCGGCGGAAGAAGUAUUGUUAAGGAACUCGGCAAAAUGACCCCGUAACUUCGGGAGAAGGGGUGCCUGCGAGAGCAGGCCGCAGAGAAGAGGCCCAAGCAACUGUUUAGCAAAAACACAGGUCUAUGCAAAACCGAAAGGUGAGGUAUAUGGGCUGACGCCUGCCCGGUGCUGGAAGGUUAAGGGGAGUGGUCAGGAAACGAAGCCACGAACUUAAGCCCCAGUAAACGGCGGCCGUAACUAUAACGGUCCUAAGGUAGCGAAAUUCCUUGUCGGGUAAGUUCCGACCCGCACGAAAGGCGUAAUGAUUUGGGCGCUGUCUCGACAAUACAUCCGGUGAAAUUGAAGUGCCAGUGAAGAUGCUGGCUACCUGCGCCAGGACGGAAAGACCCCAUGGAGCUUUACUCCAGCUUGAUACUGGGACCCGGUAUUGCAUGUACAGGAUAGGUGGGAGGCUAGGAAAUGUGGACGCCAGUCUGCAUGGAGCCGCUGUUGGGAUACCACCCUUGUGGUGCUGGGUUUCUAACCAGAGGCCGUGAACCGGUCUGGGGACAAUGUCAGGUGGGGAGUUUGACUGGGGCGGUCGCCUCCGAAAGGGUAUCGGAGGCGCCCAAAGGUUCCCUCAGAAUGGUUGGAAACCAUUCGAAGAGUGCAAAGGCAGAGGGGAGCUUGACUGCGACACCGACGGGUGGAGCAGGUACGAAAGUAGGGCUUAGUGAUCCGGUGGAAUUUAAGUGGGAAUGCCAUCGCUCAACGGAUAAAAGCUACCCUGGGAUAACAGGCUGAUCACUCCCAAGAGUUCACAUCGACGGAGUGGUUUGGCACCUCGAUGUCGGCUCAUCGCAUCCUGGGGCUGAAGUCGGUCCCAAGGGUUGGGCUGUUCGCCCAUUAAAGCGGUACGCGAGCUGGGUUCAGAACGUCGUGAGACAGUUCGGUCCCUAUCCGGCGUGGGCGUAGGAUAUCUGAGAGGAGCUGUCCUUAGUACGAGAGGACCGGGAUGGACUGACCUCUGGUGUACCGGUUGGCGAUCAACGCCACGGCCGGGUAGCCAUGUCGGGACGGGAUAAACGCUGAAGGCAUCUAAGCGUGAAGCCCCCCUCAAGAUGAGAUAUCCCAUCGUAAGAGUAAGACCCCUUGAAGACGACGAGGUUGAUAGGGCAGGGGUGGAAGUGCCGUAAGGCAUGGAGCUGACUGCUACUAAUCGGUCGAGGGCUUGACCGA
RNAcentral lists this ribosomal RNA (1419 nucleotides) under metagenome. RNAcentral describes it as "bacterial LSU rRNA". It matches the Rfam family "Bacterial large subunit ribosomal RNA", at positions 1483 to 2925 of the family's 2925-position model. The record is from RNAcentral.